CCGACGUUUCCCAAGGGAUGCCAGCUAGGCUCCAUAUUUCUUCCAGCAAAGGGGUCAUUUCCAAAUCCCCGAAACGGAACUUUAAUCGGUCACCAUCCCAAAACAAAGUGGCAGCCUCAAUGAUUUUGUUGUUGGGUUGGAUUUCCAAAAGCGAAGGCAAAUUCCCUAAGUGCUUACGGACGAGGGUUUGAUCACUGAUAUGAAGAUCCUCCCACCAGCUCAGCACCCUUGGGUGGAUGUUGCAUACAAUAUGGGGACCUCGUGCCUCAUUUCUGCAAAACAAAGUGUUAGGCCCUUAACCCCACCAGACUCGACUAUUUAAAUCAAUAAUUAGCAAAAAACAUUCAGUUCUCCAAAUAAAUGCACAUAACAUGAAGAUGUCCGUUUGGGUUUCAGGAAACCCGAUGUACUUAGGUUUAGGUUGUCUUAAUGAGUCAUUAUGUGGACAACAUAACUGACUCGGCUAGGGUUGACCAUGAUGCAUGAANNNNNNNNNNNNNNNNNNNNNNNNNNNNNNNNNNNNNNNNNNNNNNNNNNNNNNNNNNNNNNNNNNNNNNNNNNNNNNNNNNNNNNNNNNNNNNNNAUGCAAUAGAGUAAGGUUUCUAUUUUUUGAAGUGCUAGACAAGGUACCCUUGAGCGGGCAACUCAAGAGGGAAAGGCACGGACCCGUCGACUACAUUGUUGAUCGACUGGUUUUACCGCAAGUAUGACUUUGCCACAUUUAGGGGGUUUAUAAUAUUGGAAGGGCGCAACCACUCAUUGUAAGCGUUGCCGUAGGAUUUGUUCUGGCACGAGAGGAAUAUGAUGUUGAGAAAUGCAAUUACAACAAUGAAACAAGUUGCAUGUAUUUUCAUGUUCAUAAAGAUUACAAUAGAUGCUCGAAAAUUACAAUAGAAUUGAAAUAAAAGCAGAAAUUAAAAGGAAAGAAAAACAUGAAGAGUCAAGUUAGUAAUUGUAAUAAAAUAAUUAGAACGGGGAAUACGUGUGAUUAAAGUAAACAAAUAAAGUCACAAAAGCAAGUAAUGGUAAAAGCAUUAAAGAAAUUCUCGAACAGAGUCGCCAUGCUGUCGACUCCCCCUCUUUCCCUCCUAAAAGAAGCAAAAUCGGGUUUACGGCAUUAUGGAUAAAACAACUCUUAUUCCCUUUUGGGAAUUGGGUUAUGGAGUUUGAAGAGUCGCCACCUAAUGACUAUAGUGCAUUAGGACACUUUUAAGAAGAUUUUGAAUGAAAACCAGAAUUCAGGUAAGGCUUGAAAUUAUCUCGAGGGGAAGGUGUUAGGCACCCCUCAAGAUCCACUAGUGUGGUUCCCAGCCUUUCUUAGAUGUGACUUUAAGAAGCAUAGAAAUAAACAAGCAAAUAUGCUUAUAAAGAAUAUAAAACUAGUGGGCAAAUUCGAAAAAAAAGAUAGCACAAGUGAAUGGAAAAUUUUAGAGAAAAUAUUUAAUAAAAAGUAAAAGGUAAGGGGGUCCUAGGUUAACUAUAAUAUAGAUCAUUCGAUACAAUAUCCACACAUAUUCCCAAAGAGGGGUCGCAUUAUGAUAUUAUCGCAUCAUCAUCAUCAUCUCCAUGUCCUACCCUUCCCAUCCCGUUAAGGUAUUUAAAUGCCUUUGGUCUCGUUUACUUAUUGCAUGCUAGUACCCGUCCCAACCUAUCAAUCUCGGAGGAAUUUGGGGCUAAUAUUCCUAUAAGAAGGGGGUUCUAAGCCAACUCCUAGGCUUAAAGGUAAAAUGCUAAGCGACAUACAAAAACAAGUAGGACUGCAUUUAGAAGGGGAACAUGUAUACAAUUAUAAGGCUCAUAUAUACCUCUACAAACAACGCAUAUAAAUAGCAUGACUUAAACACAAUUAAGGUCUAAGGAAGGAAGAGUUUUUAAAAGCUGGAGUAUAAGUAAAAAAAAAAAGAAACUGGAGAAUUUGCAGAAAAGACUUGCAAGAAAAAUUGUUCAGAAUUUAAAAAAGAACAGUAGCAGUUUUUAGCAAUCUGCAGAAGUCACUUGGAAAUAUUUGCGGAACAGUUUUCAGACAGGUAGAGUAUAAGAACAAAUAUGAAGGUAUUUUUGAGAUUGCAGAAGUGCAAAGAAAAAACAAUGAAUAUUAUUAGCUUUCGAAAUUUAGAAUAUAUAGUAUUCAGAUAAUUUGAAAAUAGUAGUCCAGUUCCGGACAAAAUGUAAUAGAAACUUUUGCAUGGAUAGUUUAAAAAUAGGGCAGAAGUAUAAAAAUUAAAAGAGCAACGAAUUCACACAGAGAUGGACUGAUUUGAACAUAAUUUAAAGGUGAAUAGUCCAUUUCUAUACUGCCUAAGGCUUGCCUAGGCAUCAUUAAAAUGGGGAGCGUGCAAUGUUUCCAGUUUUAAGGGGGAGUUAUUAAUCAGUUUUAACCCAGAUUAACAAAGUAUUUAAACAUUUGCAAAUAGAGUCCUAAUGGCAUGGUAUCUAAUGCACAAAAGGUCCUAGAAACAUGGUAUCUAGAUGUGAUGGUAAUGACUCAGUGAUUAUUGAUUAGUUAUGAUUGUGAGAAUACACAGAAUAACAAACUGAAAGUGAAUGUCCUAAGAACAUGAUUUCUAUAUGCAAAGAUUCAUGUCCUAAAGCAUGGUAUCUAUUGCGCAGGUAAAUAAAUAGAAUGCGCAGAAUAACAAACUGAUAGUGACUGACCUAAGAACAUGGUUUCUAUAUGUAAAGAUGCAAGUCCUAAAGCAUGGUAUCUAUUGCGCAAGUAAAUAAAUAAAGUCCUAUAAGCAUGUUUUCUACCCGUUCCCUUAAUUAAACAUGCAUAGGCCUCCCAAUUUACUAUAACACCCAUUAUUCUUUGCAAAUUAUUACAGCCCAAAUAAUUGAAAUAAGAAGUUAUUCUAUAGGGAGCCUUCAUCCAGGUCAAACAUCUCCAACCUCACUCCUUCCGACUUUCACAGCAUUACCAAGGCUUGGGUGCAGCAAAGUUUCCUAAGGGUUCGUUUGAACCCCUGGCCAAUACCAAGCACCCAAAAUAUUGUUAUUUGACAGGUGCAAGUGUGGAAGUGCCAGCCUUCUACAUCAAAGUUAUAUGGGUGCUCAAAGGGCUCCCAAGGCAAUGCUUACACUAAGGGGGUAUAACCUAAUGUUCUAAGAAUAAUGAAAUUAUGAUAGGAUUGAGAGAGUUUAAAACAGUUGAAAGUCAGUUUAAGAAAAAACAAUAGGAAGAUUUAAAAGACAAUUUGAGGAAACAAUGAUUGGAAAAGUUGAAAGAAUUCCUUUGAAAUCAUUUAGAACUGACAAGUUUUAAACAGAGCAUCACACAAACAGGGACAAAGGGGAAGGGAUCAAGUAAGUAAAGUGAACUACACAAACAACAUAUUGAAGAAAAGUAAUCAAGCAUGGUUGCAAAUAGGGUUUCAGUUCUUACUGCACCAAACCCCAAUACAAUCAACCUCAGGAAGUGGUUUUUAGGCUAAUCAAGUAGCCAAGCAGACCUGGAUACAUAGUAUUAACACAUAAGGAAAAGGAAACAUCUAUUGAGACAAGAAAUGGGGUAAGGGGGAAAAUGAUAAGCUAAACUAGUAAGUGCAUGCUAGUGACAAUAAGAAAGCAUACCCAUAGAUAAAAGCACACGAGGAGCAAGAUGAAGUGCAUGACUAACAAAAAUAUAUUGUUUUGGAGACUGUAUAUUAGAUAAGUAACAUACCAGUUUCAGGCAUAUAGAACACAAAGAGAAAUAAUGCACAAGAAUAGCAGAGUGAGCAGAGAAUCGGGGCAGCAGUGUGAGAACAACAGUACAGAGAAGCAAACAGCAGGCAAAACCCAAGUAACCAAUGCAGUGAACCCUAGUAGUGUAGAAAUAAACAACCAAGAUUACCCAAUCUUAGCUUUCAGCGGAUUGAGUGAGAGAGUUUUUGGAGAAACAAUAGAGAGAGGAGAGCGCUGAGUGUUAUUGAAAGAGAGUUCAGAGAGAUUGUAAUGUGUGUUGGUGUCUUAUGCAAAGAGGAUGGGGGGAGGGUACUUAUAAUACUGAAACGAGUAAACAAACAAGGCAACAAUCUAUAAUUAAGGAACUAGAUAUCAAUCAUAAUCAAAUCAGCAUAAGGACUCCCCUUUAAUUAAGGAGCCAAAAUUAAACGAUAACAAAAAGUUAUUUUAAAAGGAAAGGAAUCAAUCAGACUACUGCAUCUAUCAUAGUAGGAGUAGUAAAUCAUGUAUUAUGUAAUAAGGGCUAAAUACAUAGUAUUUCAAGAAAGCAAAAUAUAUACUGAAUAUUUGAAAGCAUGCCAAUGCACAUAAAUGUGAUAAAAAUAUAAAUUAACUCUUAAAAUUAGUCAAAGAGUCACAGAUGAGAUUAGAAUCACAAAAGGAAUUAGUUCUAAGUAAGGAAAGCAUAUUACAAAUAAGGGAGUAAUUAAAUUAAAAACAAAUCAGUGUAAAACUUCUAAGGAAAAACACAUACAGAUAAAGUAUUCGCAGAGAUGCAAAAAAAUCAGCAGGAUAUUAGGUAAACGAUGAACAAUCAUGAAAAUUAGACAACCCUAAGCAGGAAAGUUGGACUCAAUAGAGGAUGGAACCCUAGUAGAAAACUUAAAGCAUGGAACUCAGAGUAACCAGAAGAUAACACAAAUAAACACAUAAUGCAAACAUAACCACAUAAUACUCAAGAAAAAUCAGAAAUUAUAGCGAUUUCGCAAAAGGGGUCAGAAACCCUAGUUUUGAAAAAGAGAAAAAAUUGUUGGAAAACUUGAAUCAAUCGGAGAUAUUGAGUGAGAAGUAGUGUAGAAAACUGAAAAAUCAUUAGAAAAGGGCAGAGCUUAUAGAGAUUUAGGCGAAAAAUCACGGUUUGCAAAAUAAAUUAGGAAAAUGAGAAACCUGGUCGUGAAACUUGUUAAUAAUGUCAUAUAAGGCAUCAUCGGAUAAAACCCACUGGAGAAAGGCCGACAAUGGACCCAGGCAAAGCUUUCAGCGACUGUCUUUCAUGGCAGAGGUUUCUGGGCUUCGAGCUUUAGAGGGAAACAACGAGAUGAGGGUUCUACGGCGACUAGAGAUCGAGAGAAGUGAGGGAUGAGUAUGGCCGAAGAGGCGACGAGCUUCAUCGGAGAAGAAGGAACCAAAAGGUUCUAGAGAGAAGGCAGAGCGUUUGUUAGAGAGAGAGAGAGA
This 5118-nucleotide long non-coding RNA is filed under the name Nicotiana benthamiana. Its description in RNAcentral is "long non-coding RNA (NBEN_LNC029511)". Lineage: Eukaryota; Viridiplantae; Streptophyta; Magnoliopsida; Solanales; Solanaceae. The record is from RNAcentral.